This 119-nucleotide ribosomal RNA is filed under the name Scophthalmus maximus (turbot). The record is from RNAcentral. Lineage: Eukaryota; Metazoa; Chordata; Actinopteri; Pleuronectiformes; Scophthalmidae.
GCUUACGGCCACACCGCCUGGUUCACGCCCAAUCUCGUUUGAUCUCGGAAGCUAAGAUAGGUUGGGCCUUGUUAGUACUUGGAUGGGAGACCGCCUGGGAAUACCAGGUGCUGUAACUU